Molecule: ribosomal RNA, 419 nt
Filed under: bacterium
Lineage: Bacteria
Description: partial 16S ribosomal RNA
Rfam family: Bacterial small subunit ribosomal RNA
Source: RNAcentral
UGGGGGAUAUUGCACAAUGGGCGCAAGCCUGAUGCAGCGACGCCGCGUGGGGGAUGAAGGCCUUCGGGUUGUAAACUUCUUUUGCUCUGAACAAGGCGCACUUUGGGGUGUGUUGAGUGUAGGGGUUGAUUAGCGCCGGCUAACUACGUGCCAGCAGCCGCGGUAAUACGUAGGGCGCGAGCGUUGUCCGGAAUUAUUGGGCGUAAAGGGCUUGUAGGUGGCUGGUUGCGUCUGUCGUGAAAGCUCAUGGCUUAACUGUGGGUUUGCGGUGGGUACGGGCUGGCUUGAGUGCAGUAGGGGAUGCUGGAAUUCCUGGUGUAGCGGUGGAAUGCGCAGAUAUCAGGAGGAAUACCGGUGGCGAAGGCGGGUCUCUGGGCUGUUACUGACACUGAGGAGCGAAAGCAUGGGGAGCGAACAGG